RNAcentral lists this ribosomal RNA (410 nucleotides) under Acidobacteriota bacterium. RNAcentral describes it as "Acidobacteria bacterium partial 16S ribosomal RNA". It matches the Rfam family "Bacterial small subunit ribosomal RNA", at positions 355 to 776 of the family's 1533-position model. Lineage: Bacteria; Pseudomonadati; Acidobacteriota. The record is from RNAcentral.
UCGAGAAUCAUUCACAAUGGGGGAAACCCUGAUGGUGCGACGCCGCGUGGGGGAAUGAAGGUCUUCGGAUUGUAAACCCCUGUCAUGUGGGAGCAAAUUAAAAAGAUAGUACCACAAGAGGAAGAGACGGCUAACUCUGCGCCAGCAGCCGCGGUAAUACAGAGGUCUCAAGCGUUGUUCGGAAUCACUGGGCGUAAAGCGUGCGUAGGCGGUUUCGUAAGUCGUGUGUGAAAGGCGGGGGCUCAACCCCCGGACUGCACAUGAUACUGCGAGACUAGAGUAAUGGAGGGGGAACCGGAAUUCUCGGUGUAGCAGUGAAAUGCGUAGAUAUCGAGAGGAACACUCGUGGCGAAGGCGGGUUCCUGGACAUUAACUGACGCUGAGGCACGAAGGCCAGGGGAGCGAAAGGG